Molecule: ribosomal RNA, 1443 nt
Filed under: Lacticaseibacillus rhamnosus
Lineage: Bacteria; Bacillati; Bacillota; Bacilli; Lactobacillales; Lactobacillaceae
Description: bacterial SSU rRNA
Rfam family: Bacterial small subunit ribosomal RNA
Source: RNAcentral
UGCAAGUCGAACGAAGUUCUGAUUUAUUUGAAAAGGUGCUCUGCAUUCUUGAUUUAAUUUUGAACGAGUGGCGGACGGGUGAGUAACACGUGGGUAACCUGCCCUUAAGUGGGGGAUAACAUUUGGAAACAGAUGCUAAUACCGCAUAAAUCCAAGAACCGCAUGGUUCUUGGCUGAAAGAUGGCGUAAGCUAUCGCUUUUGGAUGGACCCGCGGCGUAUUAGCUAGUUGGUGAGGUAACGGCUCACCAAGGCAAUGAUACGUAGCCGAACUGAGAGGUUGAUCGGCCACAUUGGGACUGAGACACGGCCCAAACUCCUACGGGAGGCAGCAGUAGGGAAUCUUCCACAAUGGACGCAAGUCUGAUGGAGCAACGCCGCGUGAGUGAAGAAGGCUUUCGGGUCGUAAAACUCUGUUGUUGGAGAAGAAUGGUCGGCAGAGUAACUGUUGUCGGCGUGACGGUAUCCAACCAGAAAGCCACGGCUAACUACGUGCCAGCAGCCGCGGUAAUACGUAGGUGGCAAGCGUUAUCCGGAUUUAUUGGGCGUAAAGCGAGCGCAGGCGGUUUUUUAAGUCUGAUGUGAAAGCCCUCGGCUUAACCGAGGAAGUGCAUCGGAAACUGGGAAACUUGAGUGCAGAAGAGGACAGUGGAACUCCAUGUGUAGCGGUGAAAUGCGUAGAUAUAUGGAAGAACACCAGUGGCGAAGGCGGCUGUCUGGUCUGUAACUGACGCUGAGGCUCGAAAGCAUGGGUAGCGAACAGGAUUAGAUACCCUGGUAGUCCAUGCCGUAAACGAUGAAUGCUAGGUGUUGGAGGGUUUCCGCCCUUCAGUGCCGCAGCUAACGCAUUAAGCAUUCCGCCUGGGGAGUACGACCGCAAGGUUGAAACUCAAAGGAAUUGACGGGGGCCCGCACAAGCGGUGGAGCAUGUGGUUUAAUUCGAAGCAACGCGAAGAACCUUACCAGGUCUUGACAUCUUUUGAUCACCUGAGAGAUCAGGUUUCCCCUUCGGGGGCAAAAUGACAGGUGGUGCAUGGUUGUCGUCAGCUCGUGUCGUGAGAUGUUGGGUUAAGUCCCGCAACGAGCGCAACCCUUAUGACUAGUUGCCAGCAUUUAGUUGGGCACUCUAGUAAGACUGCCGGUGACAAACCGGAGGAAGGUGGGGAUGACGUCAAAUCAUCAUGCCCCUUAUGACCUGGGCUACACACGUGCUACAAUGGAUGGUACAACGAGUUGCGAGACCGCGAGGUCAAGCUAAUCUCUUAAAGCCAUUCUCAGUUCGGACUGUAGGCUGCAACUCGCCUACACGAAGUCGGAAUCGCUAGUAAUCGCGGAUCAGCACGCCGCGGUGAAUACGUUCCCGGGCCUUGUACACACCGCCCGUCACACCAUGAGAGUUUGUAACACCCGAAGCCGGUGGCGUAACCCUUUUAGGGAGCGAGCCG